RNAcentral lists this unclassified non-coding RNA (220 nucleotides) under uncultured fungus. Its description in RNAcentral is "sequence contains ITS1, 5.8S rRNA gene". The stretch from base 172 to 220 matches the Rfam family "5.8S ribosomal RNA", at positions 1 to 49 of the family's 154-position model. Lineage: Eukaryota; Fungi. The record is from RNAcentral.
UUUCCGUAGGUGAACCUGCGGAAGGAUCAUUACUGAGGGGCUCCGGCCCCGUCAAGAUACCACCCCUUGCAUUUUGAGUACCUCUGUUUCCUCGGCGGGCCCGCCCGCCAAUGGGGACCACGAAGAAACCUCUUGCAGUUGCAGUAAACGUCUAAACAAACAAAAAAUCAAAACUUUCAACAACGGAUCUCUUGGUUCUGGCAUCGAUGAAGAACGCAGC